RNAcentral lists this unclassified non-coding RNA (230 nucleotides) under uncultured Lactarius. RNAcentral describes it as "sequence contains ITS1". Lineage: Eukaryota; Fungi; Basidiomycota; Agaricomycetes; Russulales; Russulaceae. The record is from RNAcentral.
UCGUACAAAAUGUGUGGGGCCAUGCAAGGGCUGUCGCUGACUUUUGAUGCAAAAGUUGUGCACGCCAGAGUGUGUCCUCUCACAUAAAAUCCAUCUCACCCUUUUGUGCACCACCGCGUGGGCAACCCUUUGGGAUCAAACCCGAUCUUGGAGGGAGCUUGCGUUUUCACACAAACCCCCUUUUUAAAAGUGUAGAAUGACCCCAUUUGUGCAAUAACAUGCAAUCAAUA